AUGUCUCCAACCUCAAUUGCCACUUCCACAAGCACAAUGCAAGCAACUCCUUGAUUAAGAGUUCUCAUUCCCUUGCUAAUCAAGCUGGUCUUUCACAGCCCAGCACCACACUUUCAUGUACUUCACUUAGUCUCACUUCAGUUCAUUCAUCAGUACCUUCGAUUUUGGAUAAAGGUGCCACCGAUCACAUGCUUUGCUUGCUUUCUCUCUUCUUGUCUUCCAUGACUUCUAUUGAUCAAUGUCCAAUUGCCUAAUGGAUCUAGUGUACCGAUUUCUCACAUUUUUCUUUUGACUAUGAGCACAAGUGAGGGUAGGAUGUAAGAUGCCUCGACUUCUUCCUUCGAUCUGUCUUGCAAGUGCAGAGUAACCCUAGGCCGGAUCUCUACUUCAUCGACUGUGUGCUUGCUGUCCAAUCCUUCCCAACUCUGGCCAUUUGUAGCUAAAGUUUUCCCAGUAGCGUCUCGUAAGCACCUUCGUGCUGAGCCGUCAUAGCACUAAAGUGGAUGUUAAACUAAAGGUGCCUCAAUGGGUACCUUCUACCUCAAACACUUCUCCAGCGGCUUCACUAGUUGCUGGUCUACCAUUCUCAGUUUGACGAACUAGAAACUAUAGUUAGAACAUCAACUUGCCUUACCAAUCGCCUACCAUGUCUCCUUUGUAAGGUCUCUUUGGACCCUUCGUCCACCAUCGUCCUCUAUAAAGUCCAGUGUUUCAGCUAUCUUCUUCCUUACUCGCGCCUCCUUGUCAGGCCUAGCUAGGCAAACCGAU
RNAcentral lists this long non-coding RNA (768 nucleotides) under Olea europaea subsp. europaea. Lineage: Eukaryota; Viridiplantae; Streptophyta; Magnoliopsida; Lamiales; Oleaceae. The record is from RNAcentral.